Molecule: long non-coding RNA, 835 nt
Organism: Carassius auratus (goldfish)
Lineage: Eukaryota; Metazoa; Chordata; Actinopteri; Cypriniformes; Cyprinidae
Exons: 3
Source: RefSeq, a predicted model, not a curated record
CUCAAAAACCUUUGUAGUCUAAAUUAGAUUUAAACACAGUCAUCUGAAUAGCUAGAUACUGUUAGAGGAAGAAAUAUGGAACAAAUACUAAAUGUAUAUAUAUGUAUAUAUAAAUAUUUUCCAUUUGAAAUGGGUUACUUGUUAGGUAAACUAAAUAGUUGAAAUGUAACUUUAAUUUUGAUUGAGCUCUAGAUCUGUGCAGGUGAGCAGCCAAUCGAGCGUAAUUAGGUCAAGCUGACUCCGCCCACCGAGAGAUGCGGCAUUAGAGAGAGAGAAAAAAACUUGAGAAACAACGUGAAUUAGAAGCUGCGUAAGAUCUUGAUUUAUUUCAUUUUGAGAGAGAACGCAUGUGAAAACCAAACAUUUGGAGUAGGCCAUCAUUGCGUCAUCCGAGAGAAACCUGGAAAAAAACAGAGAAAUAUCAUUAAUACACGAGGGAAUCGGCCAGUUUUGUUAUUUUAGAAAUCUAGAAUCUGGAUUUUUUCAAUUCAUGAAGAUGGCGAGCCAACCGUAAAUCGAUCAGAAACAACUAUCCUUUGUCUUUUUGGACAUCUGUAUCACUUCACUUUCGGCAGGACAUCGCGUCGGAUUUUUUUCUUUUGAGGUUUGAAACAUCUGACAUUUUCAUUUUUCCUUUUGAGCAUUGGAUCACUGAUUUAAAGGAACUGAGGAGACAAUAUCAUUCUUUAUUGUUCAGACUGACAUUUUGUUUGAACUGUGCAUUCAAGAAUUACUGAUACUGCAUUGAUACGCAUUCAUUUAGACUUUGUUUCGUAUAAACAAGUGUUUACAGUGGACAUUUGUACGUGUGACUAAACACAAGUCCUGACAUUCG